UUUGCUCGCUCUGCAGGUGCUGAUUUUCAUCGUCAGCAGCGAGGCACUGCGAAGUGGUCUAGUCUCUGGCUGUGAGUGUCUGGAGCCACAAGCCCCACAGGGUGCAGGUCUACCACAGGACUUCAUGGCCCAAACAAGUUUAAGGCCUGUCGAGCAAGACUGAAGGGCAUAUCGCACACCAGUGGGAGAGGAGCUGAAGUGGACGUUUGGAUGCUCAUAGUAGUGUUGCAUCCAGGCUAACAGUGGACAGGGAAGAUGGACACACUCCAGGACAGCACAGCAUGCGAGGCUGCCCAUGUGGUAGUGCAAAUCAGUGCAAACGACCUGCGACAGAGUCUCAGUCUGGACUUUCUUCCAGCUCCUGGAUCCUCUGUAGUUGCCUUGGCUUCAUGUCUAAAGACGAA
This is a long non-coding RNA of Electrophorus electricus (electric eel), 404 nucleotides long. RefSeq lists it as uncharacterized. The record is from RefSeq and is a predicted model, not a curated record. Lineage: Eukaryota; Metazoa; Chordata; Actinopteri; Gymnotiformes; Gymnotidae.